GCAGAGGUUGCCCAGCUUGGUCAAAGGCGCUGGGAUGAGGUCCCAGUCCAUAUCGGUUCGCAGGUUCAAAUCCUGCCCUCUGCA
This 84-nucleotide transfer RNA is filed under the name Methanobacteriota archaeon. Its description in RNAcentral is "Euryarchaeota archaeon tRNA-Leu". It matches the Rfam family "tRNA". Rfam says of the family: Transfer RNA (tRNA) molecules are approximately 80 nucleotides in length. Their secondary structure includes four short double-helical elements and three loops (D, anti-codon, and T loops). Lineage: Archaea; Methanobacteriati; Methanobacteriota. The record is from RNAcentral.